CCUACGGGAGGCAGCAGUGAGGAAUAUUGGACAAUGGACGCAAGGCUGAACCAGCCAUGCCGCGUGCAGGAAGACGGCUCUAUGAGUUGUAAACUGCUUUUGUACGAGGGUAAACGCAGAUACGCGUAUCUGUCUGAAAGUAUCGUACGAAUAAGGAUCGGCUAACUCCGUGCCAGCAGCCGCGGUAAUACGGAGGAUGCAAGCGUUAUCCGGAUUUAUGGGGUUUAAAGGGUGCGUAGGCGGGCGGAUAAGUUAGAGGUGAAAUCCCGGGGCUCAACUUCGGAAUUGCCUCUGAUACUGUUCGGCUAGAGAGUAGUGGCGGUAGGCGGAAUGUAUGGUGUAGCGGUGAAAUGCUUAGAUAUCAUACAGAACACCGAUUGCGAAGGCAGCUUACCAAGCUACUUCUGACGUUGAGGCACGAAAGCGUGGGGAGCAAACAGGAUUAGAUACCCCAGUAGUC
This 460-nucleotide ribosomal RNA is filed under the name uncultured bacterium. RNAcentral's name for it is "partial 16S ribosomal RNA". It matches the Rfam family "Bacterial small subunit ribosomal RNA", at positions 338 to 795 of the family's 1533-position model. The record is from RNAcentral.